AUUGUGACAUAAUGUUCACCAGAGAACUUUGGAAUAACUCACAUUCAUUAUUCUGACACAGAUUAGGCUCAAAUGGCAAUUGAUGGAUGGGGAGGCAAAGAAAGUUGAUCUGCCAAAGAUAAAUGCACAAUUCUAACCAAAUAAACAUCCUAAAACUGAAAAAAGGAGAUGUUCAGGAACAGCUGGAUUCUGCAUUCCCUUGCCUAUCCAAAAUGCCUGUUUGGGUGCAUGAAGAACGUUGGAACAGACUCCAGAAGAGAAGAAAUGAUGUCCAGAACUACCACAAUCUUGGACAGCAGGGAACACUAAAAUAUUAAAUACAGACUAACGCGGCUGCUACUCUGAAACCUCAGCAUUCUUUGACUGUCAUUGAAGAUCUGCCUCAUAGUGAAUUUUGCCAUUUAUGUCAACGGGCGUAGACCCUAUGCCUGAUACCUAGAGUGCUGCAGUACACCCUAUCCUGUCUUUCGUGGCAAUAUAUCUAAAGUUAGUACUACAUUAGCUGAGACACCAAAGGGCAUGAAGAGUAGAAAUUCUUUUAUUCACCAAUGUUAGUAGCCUGGAUAAUAAACAAGAGGAACUGGAAUUGCUCAGUUAUGAGCAUAAUUUUAUCUAGCUAGUAUUACUGGAACAUAAUGAGAUGAUUGGCAUGACUAGAAUGUUAAAAAUCAAUGGGUUAGAUCUAUUUUGGAAGGAUGGAGUGGAGAAACUGAGAGAGGGGAGUGCCAUACUAUGUCAAAAAAAAUUACUACUUAUCACUGACAACUCAGAAGCAAAUGUUCUUGAAUGCAGAUAGAUAAAUGUUCUAAUAGGUAAAGCACAAGAUGGGGAACUAGUUGGUGUCUUCUACAGACCACCAAAUCUCUCUCACGCACGCUCAGAUGCAAAAGGGGACUUCAACCUGAGUGACCUAAGGUGGAGGUCUCAUGUUGCCAGAAUUAAAAAAACAACUUUGGAAUUUCGAACACUUAUAUAUGACAAUUUCCUAAUUCAAAAAGGGUUACAUCUAACAUGGUGGAAUUUUAUAUUAGACGUCUUGACAGAUAAA
This is a long non-coding RNA of Mauremys mutica (yellowpond turtle), 1048 nucleotides long. RefSeq lists it as uncharacterized. The transcript is spliced from 4 exons. The record is from RefSeq and is a predicted model, not a curated record. NCBI's taxonomy places the organism in Eukaryota, Metazoa, Chordata, Testudines, Geoemydidae.